This 73-nucleotide transfer RNA is filed under the name Chitinophagaceae bacterium. RNAcentral's name for it is "tRNA-Lys". It matches the Rfam family "tRNA". Rfam says of the family: Transfer RNA (tRNA) molecules are approximately 80 nucleotides in length. Their secondary structure includes four short double-helical elements and three loops (D, anti-codon, and T loops). The record is from RNAcentral. RNAcentral also lists the same sequence under 1 other name. Lineage: Bacteria; Pseudomonadati; Bacteroidota; Chitinophagia; Chitinophagales; Chitinophagaceae.
GAUCUUGUAGCUCAGUUGGUAGAGCACAUCACUUUUAAUGAUGGGGUCCUGGGUUCGAGUCCCAGCGGGAUCA